Molecule: long non-coding RNA, 1011 nt
Filed under: Carassius auratus (goldfish)
Lineage: Eukaryota; Metazoa; Chordata; Actinopteri; Cypriniformes; Cyprinidae
Description: lncRNA (ENSCARG00000051476.1)
Source: RNAcentral
AUAUAUAUAUGUAUGUAUGUAUGUAUAUGUUAAUAUUUUAUUGAAACCAUUGAUGCCCCUCUUUGCAGAACUCAAACUAACUGGAGUUAAGGACACACAAGUCUGCUUGUGUGAGGAGGUGGUUUUCUCAGCUUCUUCUGAAGAGAGGGAAAUAUCGUUUAAGAAAUCAAACCAACUUUGGAGUUGUCUGAUUUGGAGAGUCAUUAUUCUUGGUCUGCGCUCUUAGAGGCCACUGAUGAAGAACAGGCGGUGACUGGGAUGAAUGCUGGUCAGAGAGGAGAAUCUUCUUUCCCCUAAACAGCAGUGGUUUUAAAGGAGGACGCUGCCCUGGAUGAUGUAGAAGAUGUCACAUGUGCUGAUGGGGUUUCUUCAUGAUUACAUCAGUUAUGCUAAAGAGAUCAUGAAAAUUGACCGUGAUGCAUGAUCUGUAUUCAUGGACAAUGAAACAAACUGUAAGUGUAUAAUUUGUUAAAAAAAAAAAAGUUAAAUGCUUUUUCUGUGUUGUUUAGUAGAAAAGUUUACACUCUGUCAUUCAUACACCUGCUCACAUUCUUUCACACACACACCCCCACACACACACACACACACAUGCGUCUGUUAAAGGUUAUAAUAUCAAAGUUAAUGUUGUGAUUGUAAAUUUAUUGUAUGUGUUUUCGUAUAUUUUUAUACAAUAUAUACAAUUGAACAAAGUCCAAUUUGAUCUUAAGUUAUAUUCAUCAAAUGUUCAAUGCUUUAUGAACUCUGUUGCUGUUAAUGCCAUCCUUUUCUGCAUUUCUUCUAACAUGUUACUUUUUGACUUUUCUCUUGUUUUUAAUAAAUAUUUUCCUUUUGGUAAUUAUUAUUUGUGUGUAAAAGUGAUAUUUAAAAUGAACAACAUUUGUAGGUUUAAUGCCUAGCUCAAUUUGGGUUAAUUUUAACGUAGAAAUGCAUUGUUUCCCCACAUGGCUGCACUCUGUGGGUUUAUUUUCUGCCAGCAGGAGGCGCUAGGAGCGGGAGAGGUAGGUUUCUCCG